RNAcentral lists this ribosomal RNA (253 nucleotides) under uncultured bacterium. RNAcentral's name for it is "partial 16S ribosomal RNA". It matches the Rfam family "Bacterial small subunit ribosomal RNA", at positions 524 to 776 of the family's 1533-position model. The record is from RNAcentral.
UACGAAGGGUGCAAGCGUUACUCGGAAUUACUGGGCGUAAAGGGUGCGUAGGUGGUUGUUUAAGUCUGCUGUGAAAGCCCCGGGCUCAACCUGGGAAUGGCAGUGGAUACUGGACAGCUAGAGUGCGGUAGAGGGUAGUGGAAUUCCCGGUGUAGCAGUGAAAUGCGUAGAGAUCGGGAGGAACACCAGUGGCGAAGGCGGCUACCUGGACCAGCACUGACACUGAAGCACGAAAGCGUGGGGAGCAAACAGG